AUAAAUUGAAUAGAACUGCGGUCAGGUAUUUUUACCUGUUUGAAGGGAACCCGGUGAGAAUCCGGGACAGUCUAUCUCUACUGUAUGAGGGACGAACGGAACAUAGGGCCACUGGAGAGAUCUGGGAAGGCGUUUCUAGUAGGAGGAACUCGAGUCAGGAUACAGCAACGCAGUUUAAGUGGGAGAU
RNAcentral lists this non-coding RNA (187 nucleotides) under Blautia hydrogenotrophica. Lineage: Bacteria; Bacillati; Bacillota; Clostridia; Lachnospirales; Lachnospiraceae. RNAcentral also lists the same sequence under 1 other name. The record is from RNAcentral.